Molecule: long non-coding RNA, 293 nt
Filed under: Mytilus galloprovincialis (Mediterranean mussel)
Lineage: Eukaryota; Metazoa; Mollusca; Bivalvia; Mytilida; Mytilidae
Source: RNAcentral
CGUUCAUUCGUAAGCAUACAUUCAGAACAAACUGAGCCUUAAUACAAAUUGUUGACGAAAUGUUAGCUUUGGUGUUAAAAGUUCCAUAACUCUAGGAUGAUCAAUACGAAUAUCUUGGGAGACGAUCGACAUAUACAAUAUCCAACUGAUGGCCAACCUACAAUUGAUAGGAAAUUGAAAGUGGUUUUGCGUUUAAUUGAAGGAAUUGCAAACUGGUGCUCACAAGAAAUCAUUGACUGUGAAAGUCCAAUAACUGUAGAAUACUAGUUACAUGUUAAGGAAUAGUUAAUAUG